CGAAGCCCACUACGAAGCCCAUUCAAAUGGUGAAUAGAGACAAAGAAGCAGUAGCUGUCUCUGCAACAAACCGUAUUCAAAGAUGCAGCUCAAAGAGUACGGAGAGGCAGAGAUUGCAGCUGCACAACCGAUAUGCUCUCUUGACCGUUGAUGGUUCCUAAGAAGACAGCUGGCUGGCCUGUGUCUAGAUCCUUCUUUACAGUCUUUAAAUACAUUAGUUUUGUAACCUAAAACCUUU
This 238-nucleotide long non-coding RNA is filed under the name Brassica napus (rape). RNAcentral describes it as "long non-coding RNA (BNAP_LNC012481)". Lineage: Eukaryota; Viridiplantae; Streptophyta; Magnoliopsida; Brassicales; Brassicaceae. The record is from RNAcentral.